Molecule: ribosomal RNA, 490 nt
Filed under: uncultured bacterium
Lineage: Bacteria
Description: partial 16S ribosomal RNA
Rfam family: Bacterial small subunit ribosomal RNA
Source: RNAcentral
AUUGAACGCUGGCGGCAGGCCUAACACAUGCAAGUCGAACGGUAACAGGAAGCAGCUUGCUGCUUUGCUGACGAGUGGCGGACGGGUGAGUAAUGUCUGGGAAACUGCCUGAUGGAGGGGGAUAACUACUGGAAACGGUAGCUAAUACCGCAUAACGUCGCAAGACCAAAGAGGGGGACCUUCGGGCCUCUUGCCAUCGGAUGUGCCCAGAUGGGAUUAGCUAGUAGGUGGGGUAACGGCUCACCUAGGCGACGAUCCCUAGCUGGUCUGAGAGGAUGACCAGCCACACUGGAACUGAGACACGGUCCAGACUCCUACGGGAGGCAGCAGUGGGGAAUAUUGCACAAUGGGCGCAAGCCUGAUGCAGCCAUGCCGCGUGUAUGAAGAAGGCCUUCGGGUUGUAAAGUACUUUCAGCGGGGAGGAAGGGAGUAAAGUCAAUACCUUUGCUCAUUGACGUUACCCGCAGAAGAAGCACCGGCUAACUCCGUG